GCAGUGGUGAUUCACUAGAAUUUUCACCUUCCAUGCCAGAGAUCUGGGUUAGAUUCCUGGCCAGUGCA
RNAcentral lists this transfer RNA (68 nucleotides) under Loxodonta africana (African savanna elephant). It matches the Rfam family "tRNA". From Rfam's summary of the family: Transfer RNA (tRNA) molecules are approximately 80 nucleotides in length. Lineage: Eukaryota; Metazoa; Chordata; Mammalia; Proboscidea; Elephantidae. The record is from Rfam by way of RNAcentral.